UAUAUUAUUUUCUGCAGCUGUCCGAGAAUUAAACAUUAAAAAACAGUAAACAAUUUAUAAAUAAAUAAUGUUUCGUCGUGGCAAAUUGGCAUUUUUAAAUACCAAAGAUGAUCGUAUUAAAAUUAUUAACGAACGCAUCAAUUUAACCGAAAAACAUUUAAUAGAAAUGUGUUCGACUUUUUCCGCCUGUACCAGGAAGUUGGCUAAAUUUCGUGAUUCCUAUGAUGAGCUUGCGAAAUGUCUAAAACACUAUUCAGAUGAUGAAGAAAUCAAUGAAAGUUUUAGUGAUGGUUUGAAAAAUUUCACCAACGCCGUAACUAUUUUAGCCGAUUAUAUGGAUCUAAAUGUUCAUCGUAUGGAAUUGAAGAUUGUUAAUGAGUUGGCACAAUUUGAUAAUUUAUGCAAAACUACUAGAGAUAAUUUACGUACAGCUGUUAUCGCUCGUGAUAAGGAGGUCUUAAAGCAGCGUCAAAUGUUGGAAUUGAAAACAAAGUUUUCGGCUAAUAAUUCCGCUGCCGAUUCGGAGUUGCUAAAAGCUAAAAUGGAAGUAAAUCGUACGAAUAAAGAAAUCGAUGAGAUUAUUAGCAAUUUCGAGAAGCGUAAAUUGAAUGAUAUUAAAAACAUACUCGUCGAUUUUAUAUUAAUCUCCAUGAAAUAUCACACAAAAUCUUUGGAAGCUUUAUCGGCCAGUUAUUAUGAUGUCACAAAUAUCGAUGAAAGGGGAGAUUUUAUGGAAUUUCAAAAACUAAUGAAAUCGAAAAGUGAAGCACAAGAAAAGAAAUCCAUCAAAAAGGCGGCCAGUUUGAGGUCACAGUCAAUGGAAAGUUUGGAAAGAGAUCAAUUGUUGAGUCCUUUGAAAAGGAAGGGUAGAAUGAGUAAGUCUACUAAAAAUUUGGCCGAAAAUAAAACCGACGAAGAAGACGAGGAAGAGGAGGAUGAAGAAGGCGAAGAAGAGGAGGAGGGAGAGGAUGGUGAGGAUGAAGAAGAUGAUGAGGAGGAUGAGGAUGACAGUGAAAAUUCCAAGUCUGAAGAGGACUCCAUUACCGAAGCCGAAGAUGUGGGUGAAGCAAAUGCUUUGGAUACUGCCUCUAAUUUAAAGGCAAAUAAAUUGAAUUUUAAAAAACCCUUAACAAAACCUCAAGUAAAGCAUCCCUUUAAAGCGGUGGCGGCUACACAUGUAAGAUUGCAAAAGCAAUUGCAUGUGCAGUCUUAAAACUAAAAUUUUUUUGAAAUUUUUAAAAAAGUCAAUAUUUAUUUACACUUACUGUAACAUUUAAGGAGACACUAAUUAACAACAAAUUGGUUUUAAUAUUAUGCACCCAUAUCGACCACCCUCUCCAUAAGGAGCACCAAGCAAAACAGGUGCAAGCAACAUCAUUCGCAUGACAACAUUGAGUUAAUUGAAUAAACAAUGUUCUUAAGAAUACAUCUAAACAGGGAAAAAAUGCCUUUGUCACAAAACGUUGUUUAUCAGGCUCUAGCACAACGGGUAUACCACGUUUAGUUACCGCCACUAAGCGACGUGAUAGCAAAUCUAC
RNAcentral lists this unclassified non-coding RNA (1538 nucleotides) under Lucilia cuprina (Australian sheep blowfly). RNAcentral describes it as "protein Fam92, transcript variant X1". The record is from RNAcentral. Lineage: Eukaryota; Metazoa; Arthropoda; Insecta; Diptera; Calliphoridae.